This 253-nucleotide ribosomal RNA is filed under the name uncultured bacterium. RNAcentral describes it as "partial 16S ribosomal RNA". It matches the Rfam family "Bacterial small subunit ribosomal RNA", at positions 524 to 776 of the family's 1533-position model. The record is from RNAcentral.
UACAGAGGUCUCAAGCGUUGUUCGGGUUCAUUGGGCGUAAAGGGUGCGUAGGUGGCGUGGUAAGUCGGGUGUGAAAUUUCGGAGCUUAACUCCGAAACUGCAUUCGAUACUGCUGUGCUUGAGGACUGGAGAGGAGACUGGAAUUUACGGUGUAGCAGUGAAAUGCGUAGAGAUCGUAAGGAAGACCAGUGGCGAAGGCGGGUCUCUGGACAGUUCCUGACACUGAGGCACGAAGGCCAGGGGAGCAAACGGG